GGGCAUGGGGAAUCAAAGACUGUCGUAAUGUGCUAUAAGUGGAAUUAAAAGAAGCAAAUAAAUUCGCACGUAUUUAUGCCAACACCACACACAAGGCCUGUUCAUAAUUAUUGCACCAUCAAGAGUCCUGCUGACGCCAGACGGGCGUUGGCGUGCCUAAAUUAGUUGUUUGGGAUUAUGCCACAUCAACGCCCCGCAAAAUCUCCACUUUGGCACGCAGCCAACAAUGGAAAGGCUUCCGGCCAUCGGCGUCGACUUCGGGGCGGCAUAUUUUUUAAUUAUGUGCUUCAAAACUGAAAACGAAUUAACCAU
Molecule: long non-coding RNA, 312 nt
Organism: Drosophila pseudoobscura
Lineage: Eukaryota; Metazoa; Arthropoda; Insecta; Diptera; Drosophilidae
Exons: 2
Source: RefSeq, a predicted model, not a curated record